UACGUAGGGUGCAAGCGUUGUCCGGAAUUAUUGGGCGUAAAGAGCUCGUAGGCGGUUUGUCGCGUCUGCCGUGAAAGUCCGGGGCUCAACUCCGGAUCUGCGGUGGGUACGGGCAGGCUAGAGUUCGGUAGGGGAGACUGGAAUUCCUGGUGUAGCGGUGAAAUGCGCAGAUAUCAGGAGGAACACCGAUGGCGAAGGCAGGUCUCUGGGCCGAUACUGACGUGAGGAGCGAAAAGCGUGGGGGAGCGAAACAGG
Molecule: ribosomal RNA, 255 nt
Filed under: uncultured bacterium
Lineage: Bacteria
Description: partial 16S ribosomal RNA
Rfam family: Bacterial small subunit ribosomal RNA
Source: RNAcentral